GUGGGUCUUUCAUUUCUAAGAAAGGUUGAGAUUUUGCUCAGCAAAUCACUCAAAAUCAUUUACAUAACGGGAAAAAAGAAAGAUAAGGUACAACAGUUAACGUGGUUUCUUUGUGAAGUAGUAAUGAUCAGAAUCCUGCAAUCCGUUUUAUCAAGGAAGUCAAAUUGACAAAUGGUUGAGCCGAUAAAAUCAAGCUUCUUGCAUGUUAGCGAGUAAUAACACGAUCAGAAGUAGCAGAACCAAGGCAUUUCUUUGAAACUCAUCCAGUCCGCCGCCAAUCCAAAAUGUUCUCUUAUCUCCAGGAAAAUGAUUUUUGUAACAAAGCCAUUAGAGUCGGGCAGACUCUCAUCAUGAGGACUGGCAUGGAUGAACGUCCCCAGAACAUAAAAUUCCAAAUCCGUUUUAAAUAUUGUUCCCAUGAACAACGCAAAAUAGCCUUGGAUGACGUUAUAUUUAUUCGCUCAUGUCAUCACCUCUUUCAAGAUCACUAAGUCCACCAAAUUCUUCUUCUUCCUCUUCUUUACUAUCUUGAUCAGUUUCCAUGGCCUCAUCAGAUUCUUGUUCAUCACUUUCAUC
Molecule: unclassified non-coding RNA, 576 nt
Filed under: Hevea brasiliensis (rubber tree)
Lineage: Eukaryota; Viridiplantae; Streptophyta; Magnoliopsida; Malpighiales; Euphorbiaceae
Source: RNAcentral